RNAcentral lists this unclassified non-coding RNA (200 nucleotides) under uncultured Tomentella. RNAcentral's name for it is "sequence contains ITS1". The record is from RNAcentral. Lineage: Eukaryota; Fungi; Basidiomycota; Agaricomycetes; Thelephorales; Thelephoraceae.
CCGAAUUGUCAACACGAGUUGUUGCUGGUCCUCAAAUGGGGGCACGUGCACGCUCUGUUUGCACAUCCACUCACACCUGUGCACCCUCUGUAGUUCUGCAGCCUGGGGGGGCUCUGCUCCCCUGCUGUGGUCCUACGUAUUUACACGCACACUGUAAUAAAGUCCCAGGGAAUGUAUACCGCGUUUAACGCAAUACAAUA